Molecule: ribosomal RNA, 202 nt
Filed under: Escherichia coli
Lineage: Bacteria; Pseudomonadati; Pseudomonadota; Gammaproteobacteria; Enterobacterales; Enterobacteriaceae
Description: partial 23S ribosomal RNA
Rfam family: Bacterial large subunit ribosomal RNA
Source: RNAcentral
UAGCUAAAUGCGGAAGAGAUAAGUGCUGAAAGCAUCUAAGCACGAAACUUGCCCCGAGAUGAGUUCUCCCUGACCCUUUAAGGGUCCUGAAGGAACGUUGAAGACGACGACGUUGAUAGGCCGGGUGUGUAAGCGCAGCGAUGCGUUGAGCUAACCGGUACUAAUGAACCGUGAGGCUUAACCUUACAACGCCGAAGCUGUU